RNAcentral lists this long non-coding RNA (382 nucleotides) under Homo sapiens (human). RNAcentral's name for it is "HSALNT0064562". The record is from RNAcentral. Lineage: Eukaryota; Metazoa; Chordata; Mammalia; Primates; Hominidae.
UCUGCCCUAUUCUUCCCAGAAUAGAGAGAAUCGGGAAGACUGUGGACCACAUGUCUCCAGUUCCAUUUUCCUGAGCUUACACCUUUCAAUAAGCCCACUCCACCCUGGGGUAGAGGAAGAAGGCUGGGUCAAUUCACAAGCUCUUGUGCUUCAUUUGAGCCAGAAGACACCACUGAACAGAUCAUGGUUUCAGUACCUACACUGGCUGUUUUUCAUUCAAGGUGCAAGAGUGGUUCCAAAAGCUAUGCAAGGGAUUACUUUUUGCCAAACUAAUUAUCACAAUUAUUGAGAAAUAUGACAAAGACCUAAAAGUAUCAAACAUUGCCUACAUUUGAUAGGCUUUGAAUAAAAGAUAAGUUAAUUUCAACAGGCUGUGAUUAAA